UACAGAGGGUGCAAGCGUUAAUCGGAAUUAUUGGGCGUAAAGGGCGCGUAGGUGGAUGAUUAAGUCGGAUGUGAAAUCCCUGGGCUUAACCUAGGAAUUGCAUUCGAUACUGGUUGUCUAGAGAGAAGCAGAGGGUGGCGGAAUUUCCGGUGUAGCGGUGAAAUGCGUAGAUAUCGGAAGGAACACCAGUGGCGAAGGCGGCCACCUGGGCUUUUACUGACACUGAGGCGCGAAAGCGUGGGGAGCAAACAGG
This 253-nucleotide ribosomal RNA is filed under the name uncultured bacterium. RNAcentral's name for it is "partial 16S ribosomal RNA". It matches the Rfam family "Bacterial small subunit ribosomal RNA", at positions 524 to 776 of the family's 1533-position model. The record is from RNAcentral.